RNAcentral lists this long non-coding RNA (4922 nucleotides) under Linum usitatissimum (flax). RNAcentral describes it as "long non-coding RNA (LUSI_LNC003857)". Lineage: Eukaryota; Viridiplantae; Streptophyta; Magnoliopsida; Malpighiales; Linaceae. The record is from RNAcentral.
UAGUAAAUAUAUUGCACUAAUAAAUCACACAUCGUAAAUAUUUCUCAGGCAGGUUGGAAGUGGCCGUAGUCCGCCAAUAUCGUUAUGGAUUGGUGAUUACCACUGCAAUAUCAUAAUGACGAUAAUUAAACUAACCUCUUUAGACCAAUUUACUGUGGUAAUAUUAAUAAUGCAAUAUAUAACAAAUAUUCUCAAAAUUGCCAAACACAAAACGGUAAGUAAGUAACACCGGGAUUUACGUAGUUCCCCUCCAAUUCGGAGAGUACAUCUACGGCAGCAGCGAUAGCUAUGAGCACUUCUUCACUAUAACAAGGUAGCUACAAAGACGAUCCGAGCCGAUCCAGAAAUAGUGUCUCUCAAGUGUUUCCCAACCUCGAAACAACUAUCUCACUAUUUUUAUCGCUCAUAAGAAAGUAUUCCUACCACGGUAAAACAUUUACUGGGACUUUCUACCGCUCACCUAUCUACCCACAAUUGAGAAUUUCUCUCAAUUAAACAAAUGAAGAAAUUGAACUACUACACAACAGAAGAAAGAAUGCGUAGAAGGAAGAGAAUGAAGAAAUGAUGUGGGAUGAUGGAAAUGAGUGUAUGUACUCUCAUUUUAUAGCACUAAAGGGAGGGAGCAAAUUAAAUGGAAACAAAUGGGGAGCCCAUCUACAUAAACGGUGCCAUCAAUUCCCCCCUUUUUAUCAAUUGUUUAAUUAACCGGGAUCAAUAAUUCUCCCCCUCCCGGUUAAUUUCAACGCUCCGUCAUCCCUGCUGCUGAUCGACAAUAUUCAAACUUUUCUCUCAGAAUGCUCUUCGUGCGCAUAUCUAAUCCAUUCUCAUCAGUAUGCAUCUUCUCAAAUUGCAACUGCUUCGACUCCACCACAUCCUGAAUCCAAUGAUAUCGAACAUCGAUAUGCUUGGACCUAGAAUGAAACAUCAAAUUAUUUUCAAGGUGUAUGGCACUCUGACUAUAACAGAACAACCGCGAUCAUUCCUGUUGGAACCCAAGUUCACUUAAAAGUUUCUUCAUCCACAACAACUCCUUGCUAGCUUCAGUUGCGGCAAUGAACUCUGCUUCUUUAGUAGAAAGGGCUACACAUUUCUGUAGCCUUGACUACCAGGACACAGCUCCCCUUAAAAAUGUAAUCAGGUAUCCCGAAGUGGACUUCAGUGUAUCAACGUCACAUGCCAUGUCCGUAUCUAUGUAGCCGACAAGUACAUGAUUAGAAUCUCCAAAACAAAGGCACAGUUUGGAGGUACCUCAGAGGUGUCUGAGAAUCUACUUCACAGCUGCUAGUGUUCCUUUCCAGGAUUUGAAAGAAACCGGCUAACAACUCCGACUGCGUGAGCAAUAUCUGGCCGUGUACACACCGUAGCAUACAUCAAACUUCCCACCGUUGAAGCAUAUGUAAUUCUUUCCAUCUCCGUCUUCUCUGCAUCAGUAGACAGGCACUGUUUAUGCUAAGUUGAAAGUGAUUAGCAAGAGGACAACAAACCACUUUUGCACCAUCCAUGCUGAAUCACUGGAGUAGUUUAUCAAUGUACUUCUCCUGCGACAACUAGAUCUUCUUAGCAACUCUGUCUCGUGAAAUCUUCAAGCCAAGAGUCUGCUUCGCGGGCCCUAAGUCUUUCAUGGCAAAAGAAUUGCUCAACUCCUUCUUCAAGUUGAAGAUUCUGCAAACGUUCCGGCCAACAAUCAACAUGUCGUUGACAUAGAGCAGUAGGAUGAUGAAAUCAUCAUCAACGAUUUAUGUUGUGUUCUUCAUACUUGAUCUUGAACACCCACUUGUUCUUCAAAGCUCUCUUCCCCUUCAGCAACUUCACCAGCUCAAAUGUGUUGUUGUCGUGUAGGGAAUUCAUCUCAUCCUCCAUUGUCUCCAUCCAUUUCUGCUUGUGUUCAUCCUUCAUAGCUUCCUGGAAAUUAUCUGGUUCUCCCCGUAUGUGAAUAAAACAUAUUCAUUUGAAAAAUAUCUGGUAGAGGGUUGUACGACUCUGCCAGAUCUCGUUCGGGGUGGAGAACCUUCGGCCGUUGGUGGUUGAUCAUGAGAAUCAUCAUCAUCAUCAGGCUAAACGUCAAGGGGGACUUCAGGUUCAGCUACCUCCAGAUGAAUUUCUCCAACAAUAGGUGUUGGAGGCUCUAGCUCCUCAGGUGUUGAGCUAGCAUCAGUGAUAGGAGUAUCUCUCACAGCCUUCUAAAUAUCUUCAAUGGUCUCAUUCUCCAUGAAUACAUCAUCACGAAUCCUGAUGAGCUUCUUUUGGAUAGGGCCAAAGAAUCUGUAGCCAAAUUCAUCUUGAUUAUAUCUAGUAAAAAUACACGAUCGUGUCUUGGAAUCCAGUUUUGACCUCUUGUCCCUGAAAAUGUGAACAAAGGCCUUGCAACCAAACACUUGAAGAUGGUUGUACAAGACAUCUCUUCCCGACCAAAUCUUCUUUAGGGCUUCAAAAUUCAGUGGAACGCUAGGUGAAAGGUUCUAUACAUGCACUACAGCUAGUAGUGCUUCUCCCAGAAAUAGUGCGACAACUUCGAGUGUGAGAGUAAGCAUCUGACUCUCUCUAUCAAGGUUUUGUUCAUCCCCUCCGCCACAUAAUUUAGUUACGGAGUCUUGGGUGUGUAAACUAAUUUUGGAUUCUCUUCUCCUUACAAUAGGAAUCGAAUGGCCCAAUGUACUCUCCACCAUUGUUUGUACGCUGACACUUCAACUUCUGGCCAGUCUCCCUCUCCACCAAUGCAACAAAACGUUUGAAAAUGUUUAGCAACUAAUCCUUUGUCUUCAGAACAUAUACCCAUGUCUUUUGUGAGUUAUCAUUAAUGAAAGUCGCAAAGUAACAUGCGCCACUAAAUGAUUUAGAAUCCACUUCACAAAGAUCAGAGUGAGCCAGAUCUAGCACGUUUUUUGCUCUGGAAGGUAGAGAACUUCUGAAAGAAACUCGAUUUUGCUUUCCCGCUAGACAGCCGGCGCAUCUCUCUUGGUAGACAUGAUCGAGUACAAGUAUAGCCUUUUUCCUCGCUAGUUUUUCCAUGGAGUUCUCGCUCAUGUGGCCAAAGCGUUUGUGCCAUAACACGACGGUGUCAACAAUCUCCGUUGAGUUUGUAGAUUCUAGGGAGGUCUUGGCUUCUGUCACGUACAAUUUAGAUUGCUUCUUGCCUUUCGCCACUAUUAAUGCACCUUUUGUGAAUUUUCAUUGAUCGUUUUUGAAGGUAUGGCAAUAACCUUCUCCGUCUAGGUUGUCCACAGAAAUCAGAUUCAUACGUAUGUUCGGGACAUGUCUAACAUCUCAAAGCACAAGCCUUACUCCAUCCAUUGUCUCCAGGCUAACAUCUCCUUUGCCGAUGACCUUGGAGAGGUUGCCAUUUUCCAUCCUUACCAUAUCGUAGUUGCCUAGUGUGUAAGAUGACAAAAAUUCACGCCUGGACGUCACGUGAAUGGUGGCGCCGCUGUCAACCGGCCAAGUGGUCUCUUCAACGUAGACAAGCAUGACCUCCUCAACAUCAUUUGCACGGUCACUAUCAUCGCCUUUGUUUUGCCUAAGUUCUGGGCAAAACCGUCGGAUAUGCUCCUUCUGCUUGCAGUUGUGACAAGUGAUGUUUGCAUGCUUGUUGGACUUCCCUCGGCUCUUCCCUUGCUUCUUUGAGCCCCUCGACUGACUCCUUCCUCUCCCAUCCACAGCUACAAUGUCUAACUAUGAUGAAGAGGAAUAGGAACCUUGAGAUCUUCUCCUCAUCUCCUUGUUGAGAAUUUCAUUCUUGACAUCCUCCAUGGUGACAACACCAUAUGUGGCAGAGCUCAUGAUUGUGAUCUUCAAGGUUUCUCACGAUUCUGGUAGGGAAGUCAGAACCAAAAGAGUCGUCAUCUCAUCUUCCAGCUUUAAGUUCAUUCCCGACAACUAGUCAAUGAUCCCUUGAACAUCGCUCAAUUGAUCUGAAACGGAAGUGUCCUCUAUAUAUCUCAUCUACACCAUCUUCUUUAGAUAAAAGAGUUUGUUGUUGCAGGUUUUUGACGCCUAAAGCCCCUCCAACUUUUUCCAAAGCUUCAACGCAUCCGUCUCUCCAGCGAUGUGGUUGCGUAAGUUAUCAUAGACAUGGUGUCGAAUAUAACUACAUGUCUUCUCAUGCUUGCACUUCCAAUCCCCAUCACUCUUAGUGGCUGGGGUAGUUGACGAUGACAAUGAUUGAUCCAAAUCUUUGAUCAACAGGAGAUCCUUCAUCUUCCAGAUAUGAAAGGUUGUACCAUUCAAACUAACCAUCUUGCUUGGCGUUGCCUGAUGACAAUGAUUGAUCCAAAUCUUUGAUCAACAGGAGAUCCUUCAUCUUCCAGAUAUGAAAGGUUGUACCAUUCAAACUAACCAUCUUGCUUGGCGUUGCCUCCAUAGUGAACUAGGCUUUAAUACCACUGUUGGGGCACAUCGAACGAGAAUAGAGUAAAUAUAUUACACUAAUAUACCACACACCGUAAAUAUUUCCCAGGCAGGUUGGAAGUGGCGGUAGUCCGCCACACUUAAAAUCACUAUGGAUGGGUGAUUACCACCGUAAUAUGGUAAUGACGACAAUUAAGCACCUCCUUAGACCAUUUUACUUUGGUAAUAUUAAUAAUUCAAUAUACAACAAAUAUUCUCAAAAUUAUCAAGUACAAAACGGUAAGUAAAUAACAACGGGAUUUACGUAGUUCCCCUCCAAUGCGGAGAGUACAUCUACGACAGCAGUGACAGCUACAUGCACUUCUUAACUAUAACAAGGUAGCUACAAGACGAUCCGAGCCGAUCCAAAAAUAGUGUCUCUCAAGUGUUUCCCAACCCUGAAACAACUAUCUCACUAUUUUUAUCGCUCACAAGAAAGUAUUCUUACCACGAUAAAACAUUUACCAAGUCUUUCUACCACUCACCUAUCUACCCACAAUUGAGAAUUUCUCUCAAUUAAACAAAUGAAGAAAUUGAAC